Long non-coding RNA from Pezoporus flaviventris, 1263 nucleotides. RefSeq lists it as uncharacterized. The record is from RefSeq and is a predicted model, not a curated record. The transcript is spliced from 2 exons. NCBI's taxonomy places the organism in Eukaryota, Metazoa, Chordata, Aves, Psittaciformes, Psittacidae.
GGUUCGGGUCGCUGCUGCUCACGCGUUCAGAGGCGUUCAUGUCCACCCCCUGCACCGUGGCCUUCCGGUACUGAGUGAAGCAGAGGACGUGAGCCGAGCACCUCACCGCCUUUGGCCAGAAACCACGCAAGGGGCAUUUAAUAUUAAACCCCACUAAUUCAGCCUUAAGUCAAAGGGAUCAGAUACGGACGUUGAAUAGAUGUGUGCUACAGGCCCCUUGGAGUGAGCUUAUCUGGUAUGGGAGUGAAGCUGUCAUGGGCAGGGCUGGGGUGCCCGCAGGUGUCUCGAGGUGGGGUGCUGCUUACAGCACCCGCAUCAGGAAGUUCACAGGAAAGCUGCAGUGUAAGCGCCGAGUCUGUGCUGCUGCUGGUGUAAGCCUGGAGAUCUUUGCUGGAGGAAUGAAGAACCAGUGCAAUGAAACUGGCAUCCUGAACAGAUACAACUCAGAAUGGUAAGCCCAGGCGUCAGUGUAUCUUAGGUCUGAUUUUGCCCUUUCCUGUGCAUGCGUGGAAUGAUGUACAAUGGUAACCAGAAUCAGGCUGCAGUUGUUUGGGCAGCCCUUGCGUGAGGCCUGUCCAUUUUGUCCACUGUUUUGUCAUUGAACAGGGCUGAGCUGUGCAUCUGUCAGGGGCAGGUAUGGCCAGCACUCAUGGCUUGUGUGGAAAGAAGUUUGACUGCAUUUUAAAAGGUUCCUGUGUUGUCUCUGCAGCCCAUUUGGCUGGCAGUAGUUUUCCAUUGUUUGAGAGAUUUCCAAACAUAGUAAAAGGCCUAGUAACUGGCAAUGUGCCAUCUGCUCUGGGUCGAGGGGGGCUGAGUCUGAACAUGGCAGAAAAAUACAUUCCAAAGCCCCAGUUCUGCUUGGACAGGGGAGCAUCCCACAGCUUGUGCCACACUGACAAGAGGCCAUUGUGCAAUGUCUGCUCUAGUGCCUGACCACCAAGUGACAGCCAUGAACAAGCUGCUUUGCACAACAAAGAAAAUCCUGUGGAAACCAUUUUAGAAGCCUGGAGGAGGACUGAGACUAGAGAUAUAAUGAUUUCAGUGUGUACAACAGAUGGAGACUUCAGAGCAUGGAGCCACUUAUCUAUGGAUUACAGACUCCCUAAUUAUAGACUGACACCAUAUCUGAGAGGCAGCAUCAGCCAAAGGAGGGACAAAAUCCAAAAGCCAGCCUUGACAUUGACUAUAAUAUUAAUCCCAGUAUGAUCCUAUCUUAUUGACUCCUGGUCUUGGAGUAAAUAAAAACCCAUUACUCCUGCUACU